Oryctolagus cuniculus (rabbit) is the source of this 701-nucleotide non-coding RNA. The record is from RefSeq and is a predicted model, not a curated record. Lineage: Eukaryota; Metazoa; Chordata; Mammalia; Lagomorpha; Leporidae.
UAUCCGGCUCGUUUUACACUCCCUAAUUGGUCACUUGCGCUGGGGGGCGUGGCCAUAGGAUUGCGUACUGAGGUGAGAAGAAAGGUGAUGAGAGCUGAAUGAAAGUUGUGCGCAUCAUGGCUGUGUGGGGAGCAGCCCCUCGGGGAUUCACAAGCUGAGUUGUUUGGGAGCGCUUGAGAAACGCCGUUUAUAUUCUGCUGACCUUAUGCCAGCUCAGAGCCUGGUGUUAAGCCCUGGCUGGUAUUCGAUAAUCUUACCAUAAAAGAUGAAGUCUGUGGGGGCUUGUGACUGUUUUGACCAGUAGAAUCUGAGGAAAGAGGCCGUAGUCAUCACAUGUGACUUCUGAGGUUAGGUCACAAAAGGCCAUGCAGCUGUACCCUGUCUACUGGAACACUUACUAUUGAAACUCAGCCAUCACGUAAGAAGCCCUCCAACCUGAGGGCUGAAUGCUGUAAGAAAGCCCAAGGUGCAUGGAGAAGCCUCUUGAAGGCACACUGGUUUACAGCCCCAGCUGAGCCCAGCCCUCAAGUCAGCCCAUCCCAGGUGCCAAGACUAUGAGUGGAGAAAGACAUUCCAGCUCAGCUUUUGAGGCUUAGCUGAAGCUCAAAUCAUGAGGAUGGAAGCCAUCCCUACUCUGCCUUGUUCUAAAUCCCAAGCUGCAGGACCUAUGAGCAUAAAAAAACGACUGCUGUUUUACUUUA